RNAcentral lists this ribosomal RNA (253 nucleotides) under uncultured bacterium. Its description in RNAcentral is "partial 16S ribosomal RNA". It matches the Rfam family "Bacterial small subunit ribosomal RNA", at positions 524 to 776 of the family's 1533-position model. The record is from RNAcentral.
UACGGAGGGUGCAAGCGUUGUCCGGAUUUAUUGGGUUUAAAGGGUGCGUAGGCGGCCCGUUAAGUCAGCGGUGAAAUCCCGGGGCUCAACCCCGGAACUGCCGUUGAUACUGGCGGGCUUGAGUUCGGUGAAGGCGGGCGGAACUGGCGGUGUAGCGGUGAAAUGCAUAGAUACCACCAAGAACCCCGAUUGCGUAGGCAGCUCGCUAGGCCGAAACUGACGCUGAGGCACGAAAGCGUGGGGAGCGAACAGG